CAGGCGGGGACCGCGACACAGAGGCGCUUUCAGGCCCUACCCGGGCUCGCGAGCCCCGCUCCCCUCGCCGGGGCCGCCCGGCUUUGUGCUGUUUAUACCCUGUCCUGCGGAAACCCGAAGACAGCGCUGUUCCGGGCGGCCCAGGCCCGGCGCCACCCUCGCUGGCACACAGUGGGCACGCGGCCCGGCGCUCCCGGGGACCGAGCCCCGGCUGGACUCUGCGGUGGGGCCCUCGGUCGUGGGCUGCUGGUGACUCCAGGACCUCGGGCCCCAGUGCAGGGACACAGGGAGGGCCCCUCCCUACAGAAAGGAGGGAAGGGCGGUGCAGGACGCAGCCAUGCCCACAAAAGGUGGCCUGCGAGACAGUGACAGAGGCGGGGACAUCAGGCAGGAGCAGGAUAAGGUUCAAGCCUGCAAUGGAAGGAGUACGUUUGCAGGUUCGCUGACUCCCGUCACGGAAACAGUGUUCAGGUUUGUUAGAGAUGGAGAUGCAGGAUGCGCUGAAGAGCAGAGCGCAGACUGAGCAGUGAAGCAGUUUUUAUUUCUUCUGUCCUACAUCAUUACCACCAAAAACUAGAAGAAGAAGGAGGGGCAGGGGGUUAAGAAAGGAGGGGAAAUGAAGUCCUCAUCCAGCCAGUGUCCCUGUGGCAUCCUCUACAAAGUACUACUAAUGACAGAGGUGGGAGCUUCGAGGGCAAAUGAGACAGCAUGGAAGAACCACUUACUCAGGAGAGGCAGUACUGAUACCCUGAGAAACCAGUAAGUGUUAACUGUGAUGACCAUAAACAUGCAGAUUGAGCCAGGUGUGGUGGUACAAACCUACAACCUAGCACUCCGGGAGGCUGAGGCAGGAGGACUGCAAGUUCCAGUCCAGUCUCUUGGCAACUUAAUGACAUAGUAAGACAUCAUUGGAAAUUUCAAAAAACAAACAAAUAGGGCUGGGGCUGUAGCUCAUUGUGAAGGCCCUGACUUAGAGUUCCAGUAUCAAAAAAUUUUUUUAAAGUAGGCCAGGAGUGAGCACUGAAGGCUUCUGAGACGGGAAGUAUUAGACUGUGUGUGAGGAAGAUAAGUCCACAGUGACAACUGGAAGGGGACGGUGGGUGGCCCGAGCUACAAACAGAUAGCUAGGGGGCUGCUGGGAAACUCAGGGGGCCUCAGAGCUCAGGAACCGGAAGUGCUGCCCUCAGGGCUGAGAGAGGCAGGAGAGUGGAUGGCCAGAGAUCUGAGACCCACCAGGGGGGAGCAGAGACAAGCCAGGAGGAAGGUGGGGGCUGGGCGUGAUGGUGCAUCCCUGUAAUCCCAGGACUCGGAAAGCUGAGGCAGGAGGAUUGCCACAAAUUUGAGGCUAACUUGGGCUACAUAAUGAAUUCAAGGCCAGCCUGAAUUUCAUAGUGAGACGCUGUCUCAAAAACAAAACAUCAAAAAGGCAGGGUCAGCCAGGGAUUUAGCUCAGUGGUUUUGCCGCCUGCUGCGGAAGUGCAAGGACCCAAGUUCGAUCCCCCGUACAAAAAAAAAAAAAAGGCAGGGUCCUGCUAUUUGGUUUACGCUGGCUUUGAACUCACAGUGAUCCUCCUGCCCUUAGCCUCCUGAGGGCUGGAAUUAACAGGCAUGCACCACCAUGCCCAGCAAGACUGUCUCAAAACAAAACAAAGCAAAACAAAACAACAAAAAAGGAGGUGGGAAGCCCCUGGGUGCAUACACUGGGCUCAGCUGAGGACUCUCCCAUAAAGGUGACAAUCACCGUGAGUCAGAAGAGGCAGGACUGGUAAUAAAAGUGCCACUUACUGAGUGCUACGUGCCCGACACACUCAGCAAGCCCUUACACGCACUGAGUUAUGCAGAAACCCUAGGAGGCGGUCCUAUCAUGGUCCCUCUUCCCGAGUUCCAUUCGGGCUGAAGGGGGACUGGGAUUUGGCUGUGGCUGGUGUUUGCCUCAGGCUUGGCUCUGAUUGGCCGGUGUCUGUUCCACUGGUCAAAGUUUUAGACGUUGUCCUGGCUACAAAGCUGGUUGGAGGCUCCCAAACCCAAGCCAGCCGGGAGCCACGCUCCAAACCAGGAUUCCGCAUCCAUCCACCCGUCCAGUACUGGCACCACCCGGAAACAGAAACAGCCCGUCUCGACCUUGCGGGGUGUGGGCUGUGUAAACCGAAGAGCGCUGUAUACAUAGCGACUGUGUUGAGUCCUCCGCGGCAGAAGGGAGAGGAGCCCGGUGAAGCUGGGCCAAGCGGAAAGCGAAGAGGCACUACCGGGGGAACAGGCUUCUCCCUGCUAGGAAGGGAAGUCCCUCAGCCGGACCCUGAUGGCCCCGAGCCUCCCCACUAGCGCUCUCCAGUUAACCCGGGCCUGUCCUCAGGGCCUCCUGCAACUGGCCGCCAGGGGGCGCUACUCCCCCAGGCUUCCUGCCGUCAACC
Molecule: long non-coding RNA, 2411 nt
Organism: Heterocephalus glaber (naked mole-rat)
Lineage: Eukaryota; Metazoa; Chordata; Mammalia; Rodentia; Bathyergidae
Source: Ensembl